CGUGCGUACACGUGGCCCGUGGGCAAGGUGGAGUGUAAAGAUAAAUGGUGUGGCGGGUCAUUUUCAAUCAAAAUAUGAGUAGUUCUUCGAGAAAGAAGACUAAGAGGGAGAUGACCGGGUAUUAUUUCUCUUUGAUGAACCUCAGGACGACAGGAAAGGCGGAGGAGAAAGAGAAGGAGAGAGAGGAGGGCUAAAAAGAACUAUCAUUAUUUAACUCUGUUACUUUUGUGGUCAGGUCUAUAUAAUCACUGCCAGUAACACUGUCAAAUAUUCAGGAUCAAUUGGUCUAUCACUAGUACUGUGGCUUAUUAGUAGUCUAGUAGCUGUAGCUAGAGGACUCUACAUUGAUACCUCUUUCAGGUGGGGUAUGCAUAUCUUAGAGAAAUGUAUUCUUUUCAUAGAAGAGGAGAAAGGGACAAGGAGGGACUUAGGGAUGAGGAGACAAGAUACAGAGAGGAUCAUAGAAUUAAGGAUGGGAAAAGUAGAUAGUUUUUUGUUGUAUUUGGUAACCUGCUUGGAUUUUUGUUCGGCUGGUUGACCAUUGUUUUAUUACGUCCAGCAUCUAAUGCCAUCCAGUUGUUAGCUUUUGGUAAGUAUUUCUCUUAUGCACUUUUGUUGGUUGGUGAAGUUAGGGGCGGAGCUACUAAUGGACUAGUGACAGUACUGGCUGUAAUAAGUGAAAUAAUAGCGACAUCAAUAAAUACAAUUUAUUCAGUUUAAAACUAACAGCUCACAUUAUAAAUAUCACUGGUAUUGCUAAAAUAUCAGCAAUGAUCUAGUUUAUUGGAAUAUGGACAUGCAUUAAAGGAGAUCAUUCCAAUAAUUCUGAUAACGUAUUUGAAGGUACUAGCACUUUUAUUGGUGACAUUAGUUUAGCUUUAUAUUCAGUACUGUGGACUUAUGAUGGAUGAAGGUCUACUCUUUCUCAAUCAAGGCUGACCAGUUUUCAAGCUUUAGAUGGCAAACACUCUCAAGUUAUAGAUGUAAUUACAAGACAAGGGGAAAGUACAAUGAAAAUUAUGAAAUUAUGUCUAUGUGUGCCAUAAGCAAACUGGAACUAGGAGUUAUAUAGGUGUGCUCCAGGUACUGGCUAUUUCACACUCAUUUUGUUCAAGUCAAAAUCCUCAUUGAGUCAAUCAAAACAGGAGCAAUCAUCCACGUAAAGAAAAGAAUAUCAUAAUAGCACUACUGAUUGUGAUUUGUGAUUAAGUUUACUCUUCCUGUACAUCACAAACUACUCAGCACUGUUUGGAUUGGGACUCCUUAUUGAAGCAACACUGUUUCUUGGGCUCAUCUUUACUCCUAAAAUGGCUCGCUUGUAUUACUGGUAUGAUCCCCAAGCAGAAAAUAUUUUCCCCAAAACACUACUGUUGUUUGAAAAACAAUAUUUUGAAAAAAGGAAUCAUCUAAAGAGAUUAUUUCAAAUUUCAAAAAAAAGAGUAAAGGAAUUUGAAAGACAGCUUAUGGAAAUAAAAUAAGACUCGCACUCAAAGACUUAUAAUUGUCACACAGUAGUCUAAUAUGUACAUGUAUGUAGAUAUUGUACAUGUCAACACAUUUUUUGCUUAGGUGCAACAUUAUGAAUAA
Molecule: long non-coding RNA, 1587 nt
Filed under: Amphimedon queenslandica
Lineage: Eukaryota; Metazoa; Porifera; Demospongiae; Haplosclerida; Niphatidae
Description: uncharacterized LOC109583618, transcript variant X3
Source: RNAcentral